AGCUUGGAUCAAUUGUGCAGGGAACUCAGUCUGAAGAAAGGCAAAGACAAGCUAGGACUCUAGUAAUGCCUAAUGCCGAAUCUUUAGCUUUGGCCGCGCUUCACAGUCAAGCCAAGAAGAGGGAGAAAACUGAAAUCACCUGCUAUCACUGUGGAAAAACUGGCCACACCGAAGAAAAGUGCUCUUGGUUGAUUGGUUUUCCCCCCAAUUUCAAAUUCACCAAGUCUAAACCAGGACACUCCUCUGGUACAUCAUCAGCUGUGCACUCAGCCAAUCAGGUGGCUUCUCAAGGCCAGAAGAAAGGGCCUCUGAAUGGUUCACAAUUGCCUUUAAUCGAAGCUCAGAUUCAGCAGCUCGUUGCUCUUGUUAAUGCUCAGUCUUCUCAGCUCAACCUCAAUGAAUCCACUCCCUCAGCAAAUCAGCCCAAGACUCACCUUACCACACCCACCGAUGCUAUAGCUAGCAAGUAGCAUGUCUCAUUCCUCCAACAUGGCAGGACCUGUCUUCAUGGAUGACGAUUGGUCUUGCUAAAGUCUGCAAUGGUCUCUAUUUUCUCAAUCGUCGCUCCUUUUCCUGCAAUGUUGUCAACAGUUUUCUUUCCUCCAGCCGCACUGCCAAUCACCUCAAACUGCCACUAGUCAAGCCUUCAAUGCCAAUAAACCGCAGACUUUUGAUC
Molecule: long non-coding RNA, 676 nt
Organism: Juglans microcarpa x Juglans regia
Lineage: Eukaryota; Viridiplantae; Streptophyta; Magnoliopsida; Fagales; Juglandaceae
Exons: 3
Source: RefSeq, a predicted model, not a curated record